Orbicella faveolata is the source of this 3832-nucleotide long non-coding RNA. Lineage: Eukaryota; Metazoa; Cnidaria; Anthozoa; Scleractinia; Merulinidae. The record is from RefSeq and is a predicted model, not a curated record.
ACGUGACACAGCAGAAAUUUUUCAACAAUCAUUAAUUCACAAAUAAUCAUUAAGCUUAUUUUUUAGGUAGAACACUAAUGAGCUGUUUUGAUUGUUACUACUGAUAAAGUAAUGAGCUCUAACAAAAAGUUGAAGACGCUAUUUACAUAUACACAGUUAUUUAUAUGUAAAUCAACUUAAUUUUUAUCAAAUGAGACCAAAUCCACAUCUUAAAUUAUGUCUCCUCACCUUUAGACAUGCCCUAGCGAGUUGAUGGCUAUUCCCACUGAUAUUGAUGCUUUUGUCGUUAGACUUGAGGUAUUACAAACAACUGCAUUCGUUCAUUGCACUAGAAAAAAAAUCCUUGAAUCAGAGGAUCAAAAUUAGUUACAUGAGGGGAGGCCCCAAACUGACCAAAAUGGUGACUCACUAAUAAAGGUUUUAGAACUUCAAAUCAUAUACAUAUUACAAGUGCAUGCCAAGUGAUCUCUUGACCUUCAUGGAGAGUGUGAAAGAAAAAAACCAUCCAACAUCCAAAAAUAUCCAUGAAUAGACAAUGUGGCCAGUAAAACAAGUCAAUUUGUGAGAAAACUGAGUGAUUUCUAGCGUAAAACAACUGCCAUUUGAAUCUGUAGUCCCUCCUUGUAAGCUCGCUGUACAAAUUAUUUUACCCUGCAGUACUAGUAGUCAUCAAUCAAGUAGCAAUUUGUAGCUAACUGCGAUUAUUUUAUAGAUGUUUUUAUUGUGAACAAUUCAUCAGUUGCAUGUUGGCAAAGUGGCACAUUAAGAUUUGAGCCAGGUAUUCUGAGGUUGGCGGUUCGAAUCUUGGUGUGGAACUUUUUUCCCCUCCAAGCUACAAUGUACAUAUACUAAUGGAUGGUUUGCAUUUAUACAAGUACAUGUAUUGGGAAAUAAAAAUGUUCAAGUCAUAAAUUUAAAGUAAUGUAAGUGUAAACGAAAAUGAGACGGUAUGGAAAUUUGAAAUAAUAAGUGGAAGAAAAUCACUUAAUCUCAAGUGUCAAAUCCUUGCAUAUGAUUUUCGGUAAUGUUUUGGUUAUAAGCCGCUGUUAAAGCAGUAAAUGGAUUGAAUUAUACACUCACCUCUGUUGUAUAAUAGAAAGAAAAAUAGACCUGAAGGAUUUGAGUGAUAAUAAUUCUGACAUGUUAAUUAGUAUUUAAUACAACAUUUUUGUUUAGACUUCUGUUGAUUCCUUGGUUAUCGAGUAUCAUGAAGGUCUGUCUUUUCUCAAUUGUCACACUUAAAAGCUGUAGAAUUUCUACUAACAGCAGUAUAUGGUUUUCACAUACACUUUCUGUAUCUGUGUAACAUGUCUACUGAAUGAACUGACUUUAAAAAGCUGCUGCUAAAUUUUGCUCACUAAUAAAUGUGGAUACAUGCAAUGUACAUUAGUUGUUUUAUCUAGUGCAAUUGUGAAAUAGUUAUUCACUUUUUACUAACUAGUCAUUUAUUGUCAUUUUUUAGAGUGUUUAUCUCUGUCACCAUUUGCUUGGUGAUGUUUUGGGCACAUUUUACUUUUACAUCGACCUUUGCCUGGUUCGUCUUAUUCAACACUGGUGGUGAGUACAGCUGUGUGUUUUUGAUUACCAUUACAUGACUGUGUCAUGCCGUCAUGGUGCGAAGCGAGCCAUAUGGACACUUUGCUGAUCAGCACACUGUGAGGUUGAUUGUGGAUGAUGACUGCACCAACAUUUACACAUUAAAGAUUGCAAAUUCGCUGCUGGGCUUCAAGUAUGCUGGUGAAAUUAAAGGGACAGUGUCAUGGGCUGUGCAUGUGCAAGAUUGUUUUUCCAUAUUGGCUUAAAAUUGCUCUUGAGAGGGGAUAUUUAACCUUACUGGGUUCUUUAAGAGCUAAGAGAAAGUGGAUUUCUCAAAACUAAAUUGUUUUGCGGUCAGUUUGCAUUGAAUAAUCUUUGACCUGUGCUGUGUUUCUGGCCCCGUGAAGUUGCAAGGUGAUCAAGAUAACUUCAUAAUUCACCAGUGUAUGCUAAUUGUUUUGCGUGAAUAAUUUUUUUCUCUGGCGUAUAUCGACGGAUUUCCAAGUUAAAUACUGUUACUAACAGCUAUGUUAAUGCAGAUUCUACAGCACAUAACGAUUUAAUGGUCAUGAUGCGAAAAUAGCUUGUAUCCUGCCGUAUUUCACUCUAGCUACAUGUACUGUUGAAUUGCAACACGAUCCACUCAUCUUUCAAAUCACAGUACUAACCAUCUCAUGCAAAUAAUUUUUUUUUCUAAGUUUUAUACACCAUAUCAAAGCUAACUGAAUGCAGAUUCCAGGGUAUGUAACAAUUGAAAGGUCAAGAUAUGUUUAAUAACCUAAAAAUCAUGCCAUUUUUCACUUUAGUUCCUAUUGAAUUGCAACAUGAGCAUCUAUCUUUCAACUUCACAAUGCUAACCAUGUCAUGAAGAUUUGGGGGGACUUUUAUUUUGCAGAUUAGCAAUUUUCUGAGGUUUGUGUGAACAAAUUUUUGCAGCUCAAAUUGACAUUAUUUUGACUACACAUAUAGGGUAGUUGUUAGUUGUUAGAAAUCCACAUUCCCAUGCCUAUGAAAAGGUUAAUCCUUUUAUUUUGUAAAAUUGUGAUAAUUACAAAGUUAUCUGAUGCUUGAAUUUCUUUGUUCUAGAUGUAGAUUGAAACUUAGGUACGUGUAAAUAUUAAUUUCUACUGACAUGUACAAUUACAGGGUUUUUAUGUUGUUAGAUUUUCUCUGCACAAUAUAAAAUUUGGCUAUUGAUUUGUGUUUAGAACUGAUAUUGAGUUUUUUAAUUUAACAUUUUUUGGUUAUGUUUGUACUGCUGUUUGCAGUGAGUUUCUUGAGCAUUGUUUCAUUAUGAAGAUUUUUAAUAAGCCACCCUAUUAAAUUGUACUUGAUGUGGUUUAAUAUGAAAUUUAUUGUUCAAGAGUUUUAGUGCCCUCUAGUUUAGCAUAAUCAGUGUKGCACAUAUAUUCUUGGUAAUGGUAAAUUUCAGAUUUACAAUCAAACGUGUAUGAAUUGCUCACAUUUUAAUUUCAAACCAAUUUUUGUUGAUUUGAUUGAUGUUUUUUUUUUCUCCUUCUCAGCAGUAUUCAAAACACCCCAGUGGGUAUAGUUAUACUUUUAAAGAGUGAAUGUUAUGAGCAGCUAGCCUGAACUCAUUAAUUUUAACACAAGAUGAGAUGAUGAAAGUGGUAUUGACCAGGUUCCUCAUUACACAAAGCAGUUCACAUACAUGAAGAUGCUGGACAAUCAAUCUACUGACAGGCUCUUCAACGUGAUUGACAAGUACUUUCUGGAAACUAAUGAUGUGAGAAACAUUCAUUUCAAAGCCAAAGCUUAAACAAAUCCAAUUAAACCUAAGGAUAUUUUCUUGCUGUUCUUUCAAGAACUUGGAUGUGUCUCAUGCAAGUAUUCAGAAUUGGUGGAAUGGCAACCUGUUGAAAAUGUACACUGGAAAGGAAUGGAUAUUAUGAGAGAAAAACAAAGUGAUUGGCAAGAAUACUCUUGGGAUUACUUUGUCAUAUGGCUUUUGUCCUAUGAUUCUCGAGAGUUGAGAUGCACAUUGUUGGACUGCCUUCAUCCAUUCAAAGACAUUACACAUUGAUUUUGAUUUGUGUUUGUGUCGUAACCUUUUGAUUUGGAAUGUUAUACUCACAUCAUUAGGUUUCUUGGUUUUAGGGUGAAUUGGGUAUUACGGCAGUGUUUUCACUAAGACUGUUUCCACCAUACAGUACUUGAAGCAACUAUUUAUUAGGUUUCUGCCUCAGUUUCAUCAAGUGUUCUGUUGGGAAUAGGUUGCUAUAAUGUAAAUCAGUUUUCAAAUAUUGUCUCUCUAGGGGAAAGGUUUUUUGGAUCC